Molecule: long non-coding RNA, 201 nt
Filed under: Trifolium pratense (red clover)
Lineage: Eukaryota; Viridiplantae; Streptophyta; Magnoliopsida; Fabales; Fabaceae
Description: long non-coding RNA (TPRA_LNC009707)
Source: RNAcentral
UUAGAUUUACACAGUAGCAUUAGAUAACGGUAGGUCGAUUAUUGGUACUUUGGGUUCGAUAUCUUUUUAAUACUACACGACACGACUGUAUACUUGCAGUCACGUUGUCGUCCGAUCAAGUUUUUGGCGACGUUGCCGGGGACCAAUUUAGUCGAUAUCGUAACUCCAGUGUUACACCGUAAAGACUAAGGCAAUUUUAAU